RNAcentral lists this ribosomal RNA (394 nucleotides) under uncultured bacterium. RNAcentral's name for it is "partial 16S ribosomal RNA". It matches the Rfam family "Bacterial small subunit ribosomal RNA", at positions 523 to 918 of the family's 1533-position model. The record is from RNAcentral.
AUACGUAGGGAGCGAGCGUUGUCCGGAAUUACUGGGCGUAAAGGGCGCGUAGGCGGCGCUUCAAGUCGUCUGUCAAAUGGGAGGGCUUAACCCUUUUUCGCAGACGAAACUGGAGAGCUUGAGAAGCAGAGAGGCAAACAGAAUUCCUGGUGUAGCGGUGAAAUGCGUAGAUAUCAGGAAGAAUACCAGUGGCGAAGGCGGUUUGCUGGCUGCAUACUGACGCUGAAGCGCGAAAGCCAGGGGAGCAAACGGGAUUAGAUACCCCGGUAGUCCUGGCAGUAAACGAUGUAUGCUGGGUGUGAGACUAGCGAUAGUUUCGUGCCGAAGUUAACGCGAUAAGCAUACCGCCUGGGGAGUACGGUCGCAAGAUUGAAACUCAAAGGAAUUGACGGGG